AUGCUGGUGAGUCACUUGUUCGUGGAAACAUAUAUAGAGGACGGAGACGAUCUGAUCAGCAAGCUACCUGACGAGGUUCUUUUCAAUGUCGUCGGCCGCCUCGAUGACAUCGACGACGCCGCGAGGACCGGCGUCCUGUCCACGUGGUGGAGGUGGAUCCCCGCUAUGCUCCCAAACAUUGUCAUGUCGGUCGAUUCCUUCAAGCCAAAGCACCGCCGUAGAUGGGAGUUGGGACACGAGUACUUAGAUCGGGCCAAAGCCGACAUGAUCGAAGCAGCUCGGGCCACAACCGCCAUGAUCGGAGCAACUCGGGACAGUGCCAUCAUGGUCGGAGCAGCUAGGAGCAUGCUCGGGAUGAAUAACACCAGAAGCCUUUACGCCAUCGACGUCUUGCACCUAGAGAUCUACCUGGGCUACCAUUCCGUCUCCAUCGGCCCGGCCAUCGCCGACGCCAUGGCAACGGACAAGAUUGGUCUGGCCAAGAGGCAACUCCGGUCAUUCGUCGGCGCUUGUUGGAGCGCAUUCGGCGGCCUCGUGCACCUCAAGCUACGAAAUCUGAGGCUACCAGAUGACGGCUUGCCCAAGAUCCUGAGCACGUGCAAGUGGCUGCAGUUUCUCAUGAUGUACAACUGCGACGCGGGGCAUCUGUUUGUGCUGGAGGUGGAGCACCCGCGGCUCGGUGAGCUCGAGAUUGUCGACUGCGACUACGACAGAGUCGAGCUCAAGUGGCUGCCAGAGCUCACGCUCUUCACCGUUUCCCGCUGGAUUUCUCCGCAUGACCUGGUGUCUUUCGGCCAUGUCCCGUUGCUCAGGAGUGUGAGCAUGGCUAAUACUUGUCUUACUGAGCAUAAGGUGCCUCAGUCUUGUAAAAGUAUUUGGGAAGCGUAG
This 888-nucleotide ribosomal RNA is filed under the name Triticum aestivum (bread wheat). RNAcentral describes it as "partial small subunit ribosomal RNA". Lineage: Eukaryota; Viridiplantae; Streptophyta; Magnoliopsida; Poales; Poaceae. The record is from RNAcentral.